RNAcentral lists this ribosomal RNA (165 nucleotides) under Agrostis capillaris (colonial bentgrass). Its description in RNAcentral is "5.8S ribosomal RNA". It matches the Rfam family "5.8S ribosomal RNA". Rfam says of the family: 5.8S ribosomal RNA (5.8S rRNA) is a component of the large subunit of the eukaryotic ribosome. It is transcribed by RNA polymerase I as part of the 45S precursor that also contains 18S and 28S rRNA. The record is from RNAcentral. Lineage: Eukaryota; Viridiplantae; Streptophyta; Magnoliopsida; Poales; Poaceae.
CACACGACUCUCGGCAACGGAUAUCUCGGCUCUCGCAUCGAUGAAGAACGUAGCGAAAUGCGAUACCUGGUGUGAAUUGCAGAAUCCCGCGAACCAUCGAGUCUUUGAACGCAAGUUGCGCCCGAGGCCAUUCGGCUGAGGGCACGCCUGCCUGGGCGUCACGCA